GGCGAGGUGGCCGAGGGGUUAAGGCGAUGGGCUGUUAAUCCAUUGUGCUCUGCACGUAUGGGUUCUGAUCCCAUCCUCAUCG
Molecule: transfer RNA, 82 nt
Filed under: Xenopus tropicalis (tropical clawed frog)
Lineage: Eukaryota; Metazoa; Chordata; Amphibia; Anura; Pipidae
Description: tRNA-Asn (GTT) (tRNA-Asn-GTT-26-1)
Rfam family: tRNA
About the family: Transfer RNA (tRNA) molecules are approximately 80 nucleotides in length. Their secondary structure includes four short double-helical elements and three loops (D, anti-codon, and T loops). Further hydrogen bonds mediate the characteristic L-shaped molecular structure. tRNAs have two regions of fundamental functional importance: the anti-codon, which is responsible for specific mRNA codon recognition, and the 3' end, to which the tRNAs corresponding amino acid is attached (by aminoacyl-tRNA synthetases). tRNAs cope with the degeneracy of the genetic code in two manners: having more than one tRNA (with a specific anti-codon) for a particular amino acid; and 'wobble' base-pairing, i.e. permitting non-standard base-pairing at the 3rd anti-codon position.
Source: Rfam by way of RNAcentral